GAUGAAGAACGUAGCGAAAUGCGAUAAGUAAUGCGAAUUGCAGAAUUCCAGUGAAUCAUCGAAUCUUUGAACGCACAUUGCGCCCCUUGGUAUUCCAUGGGGCAUGCCUGUUCGAGCGUCAUUUGUACCCUCAAGCUUUGCUUGGUGUUGGGUGUUUGUCCCGCGCGUUUGCGCAGACUCGCCUUAAAUCAAUUGGCAGCCGGCAUGUUAGCCUGGAGCGCAGCACAUUUUGCGCCCCUUUCUAGCUUGUGUUGGCCCCCAUCAAGUCCAUAUAUUUGCUCUUGACCUCGGAUCAGGUAGGGAUACCCGCUGAACUUAAGCAUAUCAAUAAGCGGAGGA
This 339-nucleotide unclassified non-coding RNA is filed under the name soil metagenome. RNAcentral's name for it is "partial contains 5.8S ribosomal RNA, internal transcribed spacer 2, and large subunit ribosomal RNA". The stretch from base 1 to 121 matches the Rfam family "5.8S ribosomal RNA", at positions 35 to 154 of the family's 154-position model. The record is from RNAcentral.